GGAUCGAUGAUGACUCCCCAAUAAACAUUCCUUGGAAAAGCUGAACAAAAUGAGUGAGAACUCUCAACCGUCGUUCUCAUCGUGACUGAGGUCC
This is a small nucleolar RNA of Lepus europaeus (European hare), 94 nucleotides long. RefSeq annotates it as small nucleolar RNA SNORD116. Lineage: Eukaryota; Metazoa; Chordata; Mammalia; Lagomorpha; Leporidae. The transcript has a single exon. The record is from RefSeq and is a predicted model, not a curated record.